UUAAAUGAAUUGACGGGGAGCACCACAACGGGUGGAGCUUGCGGUUUAAUUGGAUUCAACGCCGGAAAUCUUACCGGGACCGACAGCAAUAUGAAGGCCAGGCUGAAGACUUUGCCGGAUUAGCUGAGAGGUGGUGCAUGGCCGUCGUCAGUUCGUACUGUGAAGCAUCCUGUUAAGUCAGGCAACGGGCGAGACCCACGCCCACAGUUGCCAGCGUACUCUCUGGAGUGACGGGUACACUGUGGGGACCGCCGCUGCUAAAGCGGAGGAAGGAAUGGGCAACGGUAGGUCAGUAUGCCCCGAAUAUCCCGGGCUACACGCGAGCUACAAUGGUUGGUACAAUGGGUAUCUACCCCGAAAGGGGACGGGAAUCUCCUAAAACCAAUCUUAGUUCGGAUUGAGGGCUGCAACUCGCCCUCAUGAAGCUGGAAUCCGUAGUAAUCGCGUUUCAAAAUAGCGCGGUGAAUAUGUCCCUGCUCCUU
Molecule: ribosomal RNA, 482 nt
Filed under: uncultured Methanosaeta sp.
Lineage: Archaea; Methanobacteriati; Methanobacteriota; Methanomicrobia; Methanotrichales; Methanotrichaceae
Description: bacterial SSU rRNA
Rfam family: Archaeal small subunit ribosomal RNA
Source: RNAcentral